This 326-nucleotide ribosomal RNA is filed under the name uncultured eukaryote. Its description in RNAcentral is "partial 18S ribosomal RNA". It matches the Rfam family "Eukaryotic small subunit ribosomal RNA", at positions 1470 to 1796 of the family's 1831-position model. The record is from RNAcentral.
CCCUUAGAUGUUCUGGGCUGCACGCGCGCUACACUGAAGCGUUCAACGAGUAUUCACCUUGCCCGGGAGGGUUGGGUAAUCUUUUGAAAACGCUUCGUGAUGGGGAUAGAUUAUUGCAAUUAUUAAUCUUCAACGAGGAAUUCCUAGUAAGCGCGAGUCAUCAGCUCGUGCUGAUUACGUCCCUGCCCUUUGUACACACCGCCCGUCGCUCCUACCGAUUGAACGUUUUAGUGAGGCAUUUGGACCGACGCAUCUCAGUUUAACCGCUGGUUUGUGUUGGAAAGACUUCCAAACUUGAGCGUUUAGAGGAAGUAAAAGUCGUAACA